AGUGAACGCUGGCGGUAGGCCUAACACAUGCAAGUCGAACGGCAGCACAUUAAGAGCUUGCUCUAACGGGCGUCGAGUGGAAGACGGGUGUGGAAUACAUCCGAAUCUACCUUUUCGUGGGGGAAAACGUAGGGAAACUUACGCAAAUACCGCAAACGACCUACGGGUGAAAGCAGGGGAUCUUCGGACCUUGCGCGAUUGAUUGACCAGAGGUCGGAUUAGCUAGUUGGCGGGGUAAAGGCCCACCAAGGCAAGGAUCCGUAGCGGGUCUGAGAGAAUGAUGAGCCACACGGGAACUGGACAACGGUCCAGCUUCCUAGGGAAGGCGCCAGUGGGGAAUAUUGGACAAUGGGGGCAAGCCGGAGCCAGCCAUACCGCGUAGUUGUAAAAGGCCUUCGGUUUUUAAGGUCCUUUUGUUGGGAAAGAAAGGCAGCAGGUUAAUACCCCGCUGGUCUGACGGUACCCAAAUAGUAAGCACCGGCUAACUACGUG
RNAcentral lists this ribosomal RNA (492 nucleotides) under uncultured bacterium. Its description in RNAcentral is "partial 16S ribosomal RNA". It matches the Rfam family "Bacterial small subunit ribosomal RNA", at positions 29 to 507 of the family's 1533-position model. The record is from RNAcentral.